CUACGGGGCGCACCAGUCGAGAAUCUUCCGCAAUGGGCGAAAGCCUGAUGGAGCGACGCCGCGUGGUUGAUGAAGUCCCUCGGGACGUAAAAACCUUUUAUGCAUGAAGAAUUUUUUGACAUUAGUGCAUGAAUAAGGGGCUGCUAACUCUGUGCCAGCAGCAGCGGUAAUACAGAGGCCCCAAGCGUUAUCCGGAAUCACUGGGCGUAAAGGGUGUGUAGGUGGUUGUGUUAGUCUUCCGUCAAAGCCUCCGGCUCAACCGGAGAUCUGCGGGAGAAACGGCACAGCUAGAGGAUGCGAGAGGUGUGUGGAACUUAUGGAGUAGGGGUGAAAUCCGUUGAUACCAUAGGGAACACCAAAAGCGAAGGCAGCACACUGGCGCAUUCCUGACACUGAGACACGAAAGCGUAGGUAGCGAAUGGGAUUAGAUACCCUGGUAGUC
RNAcentral lists this ribosomal RNA (442 nucleotides) under uncultured bacterium. Its description in RNAcentral is "partial 16S ribosomal RNA". It matches the Rfam family "Bacterial small subunit ribosomal RNA", at positions 339 to 795 of the family's 1533-position model. The record is from RNAcentral.